CCUAUCAUGCAAGUCGAGCGGACUUGCUGGAGCUUGCUCCAGCAGGUUAGCGGCGGACGGGUGAGUAACACGUGGGCAACCUGCCUGUAAGACUGGGAUAACUCCGGGAAACCGGAGCUAAUACCGGAUAGUAUCUUGAACCGCAUGGUUCAAGUUGGAAAGACGGUUUCGGCUGUCACUUACAGAUGGGCCCGCGGCGCAUUAGCUAGUUGGUGAGGUAAUGGCUCACCAAGGCAACGAUGCGUAGCCGACCUGAGAGGGUGAUCGGCCACACUGGGACUGAGACACGGCCCAGACUCCUACGGGAGGCAGCAGUAGGGAAUCUUCCGCAAUGGACGAAAGUCUGACGGAGCAACGCCGCGUGAGUGAUGAAGGUUUUCGGAUCGUAAAACUCUGUUGUUAGGGAAGAACAAGUGCGAGAGUAACUGCUCGCACCUUGACGGUACCUAACCAGAAAGCCACGGCUAACUACGUGCCAGCAGCCGCGGUAAUACGUAGGUGGCAAGCGUUGUCCGGAAUUAUUGGGCGUAAAGCGCGCGCAGGCGGUUUCUUAAGUCUGAUGUGAAAGCCCCCGGCUCAACCGGGGAGGGUCAUUGGAAACUGGGAAACUUGAGUGCAGAAGAGGAGAGUGGAAUUCCACGUGUAGCGGUGAAAUGCGUAGAGAUGUGGAGGAACACCAGUGGCGAAGGCGACUCUCUGGUCUGUAACUGACGCUGAAGCGCGAAAGCGUGGGGAGCGAACAGGAUUAGAUACCCUGGUAGUCCACGCCGUAAACGAUGAGUGCUAAGUGUUAGA
Molecule: ribosomal RNA, 795 nt
Filed under: Bacillus sp. VC-YC6631
Lineage: Bacteria; Bacillati; Bacillota; Bacilli; Caryophanales; Bacillaceae
Description: bacterial SSU rRNA
Rfam family: Bacterial small subunit ribosomal RNA
Source: RNAcentral